Molecule: long non-coding RNA, 467 nt
Organism: Corythoichthys intestinalis (scribbled pipefish)
Lineage: Eukaryota; Metazoa; Chordata; Actinopteri; Syngnathiformes; Syngnathidae
Exons: 4
Source: RefSeq, a predicted model, not a curated record
UUUGCCUGCUAUCCUGCCACGUCCUACGCUACAUCCUUGUCUGGCGCUGCCACACCUGGACGGCUUGAGUCAAGAACAAGAAUACAAACGGGGAAUGCAGCGUGUCCUAUUAGGUUUCCAAACAGCUUGUAAUGACUGGUAAUAAACAGCAGAAGAAAGAAGUAAAUCAAGCGAGAAGACGACAAAAUGAGCUCUCCAGGGGGCCUGCAUAGUCCCUGUUUUCAAGACACACACAAACACACAAAUGGAAACACUAGCAACUCUUCUCUACUAGUGUAAGUCCCUUGUCCCUUCGCUGUCACUCCCUCCCAAUGGUGUCACGGCUCGCUGGCUCCAGGUGGCGAGGGAAGAUGGGAAGCAGAGAGGAAGGGGGAUUGCUAGAUGGAUGACAGAGGAGAAGGGCGUGCUGUCAUCUACUCCUAUGUUCAAACCAGCACUACAGACAAGCGUCUAUAGCAGUGGUUCUU